RNAcentral lists this long non-coding RNA (201 nucleotides) under Elaeis guineensis (African oil palm). RNAcentral describes it as "long non-coding RNA (EGUI_LNC074710)". Lineage: Eukaryota; Viridiplantae; Streptophyta; Magnoliopsida; Arecales; Arecaceae. The record is from RNAcentral.
CCUUUCGGAGAGGCAUCAGGUAGAGAUCUAGUCGGAGAAAAAGAAGAAGAUAUCGGAGAAGAUGACCGGAGGCAGUCCCGUUGAGCACUCCUUUAAGAACAAGGGUACUGCGAAGACACAGGUCCUUCCUCUAGUGCCAAUUCUGUUGGUGCAGAAUCCCGCCGAAGUCAGAGAAGUUGCAGCUGGGAUGGCCGUGGCCAU